This 234-nucleotide ribosomal RNA is filed under the name uncultured bacterium. RNAcentral's name for it is "partial 16S ribosomal RNA". It matches the Rfam family "Bacterial small subunit ribosomal RNA", at positions 15 to 244 of the family's 1533-position model. The record is from RNAcentral.
GAUCAUGGCUCAGGAUGAACGCUGGCGGCGUGCUUAACACAUGCAAGUCGAACGAGCGAGAGAGAGCUUGCUUUCUCGAGCGAGUGGCGAACGGGUGAGUAACGCGUGAGGAACCUGCCUCAAAGAGGGGGACAACAGUUGGAAACGACUGCUAAUACCGCAUAAGCCCACGACCCGGCAUCGGGUAGAGGGAAAAGGAGCAAUCCGCUUUGAGAUGGCCUCGCGUCCGAUUAG